ACGAUGCUGCUAAACAUUCUGCAAUGCACAGGACAGCCUCCAACAACAAAUUAUCUGACUCAAAAAAUGAAAAGUUUGAGAAACCUUGCCAUGGGGUCUCUUUCUGUCACCCACACUAAAGUGCAGCCUGGAAGUCCUAGGCGCAUCCCACUUCAGCCUCACAACUAGCUGGGACUACAGACAUAUGCUACCACAUUUGGGUAGAAAGCAGAGAACACACAGUGGUUUGUUGCCUUUGUUCUUUGAAGCUAGCUCACACUUAACCAUAGAAACAGCAUGCAAGAUGUGGUACCUGCACUACCCUGCCCUUGAAACUGUUUGGCUUCUUACGUUCUGACCAUCUCCAAACCCACAAUAUUUGAAAACGCAGCUUUCCCUCAUGUCUGGCAUUUUUCCAUGAACUGCCAUUGUAUCUCCUUUUAUUUUUUACUAUUUUGUUUAAACCCCUCAAACCUUUCAUCAUAAUAUGCUUCCAGUGGGUUUCGGCAGCUACUCUGAGAGCCUGAGUAUAAAUCAACACCAUUGUGAUUCCUGAAGUUGCAAAGUGCUGUCACUCUUGAAAC
Molecule: non-coding RNA, 563 nt
Filed under: Pongo abelii (Sumatran orangutan)
Lineage: Eukaryota; Metazoa; Chordata; Mammalia; Primates; Hominidae
Source: RNAcentral